UGCGGAAGGAUCAUUAGUGAAUAUAGGACGUCCAACUUAACUUGGAGUCCGAACUCUCACUUUCUAACCCUGUGCACUUGUUUGGGAUAGUAACUCUCGCAAGAGAGCGAACUCCUAUUCACUUAUAAACACAAAGUCUAUGAAUGUAUUAAAUUUUAUAACAAAAUAAAACUUUCAACAACGGAUCUCUUGGCUCUCGCAUCGAUGAAGAACGCAGCGAAAUGCGAUAAGUAAUGUGAAUUGCAGAAUUCAGUGAAUCAUCGAAUCUUUGAACGCACCUUGCGCUCCAUGGUAUUCCGUGGAGCAUGCCUGUUUGAGUGUCAUGAAUACUUCAACCCUCCUCUUUCUUAAUGAUUGAAGAGGUGUUUGGUUUCUGAGCGCUGCUGGCCUUUACGGUCUAGCUCGUUCGUAAUGCAUUAGCAUCCGCAAUCGAACUUCGGAUUGACUUGGCGUAAUAGACUAUUCGCUGAGGAAUUCUAGUCUUCGGACUAGAGCCGGGUUGGGUUAAAGGAAGCUUCUAAUCAGAAUGUCUACAUUUUAAGAUUAGAUCUCAAAUCAGGUAGGACUACCCGCUGAACUUAAGCAUA
RNAcentral lists this ribosomal RNA (587 nucleotides) under Rhodotorula sp. RNAcentral's name for it is "eukaryotic LSU rRNA". The stretch from base 170 to 323 matches the Rfam family "5.8S ribosomal RNA". Lineage: Eukaryota; Fungi; Basidiomycota; Microbotryomycetes; Sporidiobolales; Sporidiobolaceae. The record is from RNAcentral.